RNAcentral lists this transfer RNA (73 nucleotides) under Promethearchaeota archaeon. Its description in RNAcentral is "Candidatus Lokiarchaeota archaeon (microbial mat metagenome) tRNA-Thr". It matches the Rfam family "tRNA". Rfam says of the family: Transfer RNA (tRNA) molecules are approximately 80 nucleotides in length. Their secondary structure includes four short double-helical elements and three loops (D, anti-codon, and T loops). The record is from RNAcentral. Lineage: Archaea; Promethearchaeati; Promethearchaeota.
GCCUCUGUAACUCAGUUCGUAGAGUGACAGAUUCGUAAUCUGUUUGCCGGGGGUUCAACUCCCCCCAGGGGCU